UCCAUCAACUAUAUUUGACACUUAGCAUAUACAUAAUGUUAAUAAUAUGUCGCUGAUCGGAAGAAAACUGGUCAGCAAAUAACUAGCUGAACCUAUCCUUGGCUAAACUAAUGCUAAAAUGCUAACGCUACACACGGAGACUUCAUAGCCACCAUGGCUAAUUAUAUUCAUAAUAUUAUAGUCUACACGUAACAAAUAUGAUCAUUUUACACACAUUUCACACACAGACAAUAUUUCUGACGAUUUAUAUGGAUCGUAUAUGGUUUGCUUGUGAUCACAAAACAUGAAUGAGCAAGGCGGCCAUUGAGUAGCCUACUGACAACAACAAAACACCUUAGACAACUUACCUUGAUAAUUGUGUACAAACUCCUCCACAGAAAACUUGUACCCCUUUGUCAGCCUGGGCUGUGGUGUUGCUGAGUGUGUCUCCACAAUCUUCUGCACAUCUUCGAAUCGCAAUUUGGGAAUACCCACCAGGGAAGUGGCGAAGAAACGAUCCAUUUUUGCAUUGACGGCAAUACAAAAAUGACUACGCCGGAAGAAUGUUUACCCGGUGUGACGUCAUUUCCGAUUUUCGUGAGAUAGGCCGUUCGCCAAGUGUAAAGCUAAAUAUUUAGAAAAUAUUCCAAUCCCCAAGGAAACCACGCCCACUGUGGCUUCAAAUCUUGCGGCGGCGGCAACGAUCGCCUUCGCACGGCAAAGGCAAGCAGGCAUGGCCUGUUCUCUGGGAGUCCUAGACAUCGAACGGGUGGUUAUUGCUGCUGUACGGGCUGCACUCCAGGGUGUAGCUCUCCCGGUCCAGUCCACAACAGCAACGGCGACCAACGCAGUAACCCAGAACGAGGCAAGUCGACAGAGGGGAAGAUUUUCAUCAGUAUUCGGUGAGUUGGCUACUACGUUCACUUGUGUGUUCCUUACAUGCACCCCCUUGAUAAGCCAAGGGGGUACACAGAUAUAAAUAUAUAUCUAUUUUAAGUGGCGCAUUAGAAAAUGUCUUUAGUGUUAUCAAAGAAACAGUUAAUAUUAUGGUACUCUGUAUCAUUUUUCUAAAGUUUCGAUGUUGGGAUUUCAGUUGUAUCAUCGGACUAAACCCAUGCCGGGUUUAGUCCGAUGAUACAACUGAAAUCUCACCAUCCAAACUUUAGAAAAAAUCUUUAAAUCAGCUUAUUUCAGUAGCAGUCACAAAAACGGCAUAGAUUACUAUGUUGACGAUCAUAUUGGAGAAAUUACCACGUUUAAAAUGGAUCGUAAAAUAAAAGUAUGCAUCUUGUCUUCACGAGGUUCAGUUUAUACGGGAUCAGUCCAUCGCUCAGAGCCAGAAGCGGGUUCGAUGUUCGGUUUUCAUUUAGCCCGCAAUCGGAAUGAUAAACAGAAUUGAACUUCAUCACGGGUGUCUGUGUACGUAUGUUGAGGACAGUAUAGGGCUGUUUCCCAAAGUGAAGGCUGCAGCCUUGUAUGGCAAGCCAUCCCCGCCAGAAAGCGGCAUCAUUUAGACGCGUA
Gadus morhua (Atlantic cod) is the source of this 1500-nucleotide long non-coding RNA. NCBI's taxonomy places the organism in Eukaryota, Metazoa, Chordata, Actinopteri, Gadiformes, Gadidae. The record is from Ensembl.